UUCACUGCAGAAGAUAUUAUCAAUCAAGAGGUAAGUUUACAAUACUUGAAAAAAAAAACCUUUUAGUGAAAUCUAUACAACGCCGUGAUUUAAAAAAAGAUUGUACGUUUUUUUUUUUAUGAAAGUAGAUACUUAUUAAUUAAUUUUCUCAUACUUUUCUUCAGUAAGUUUAUUUUACCAAGUUUAAACAGCGCAAAUCAGUGCUUGUCGUUGGUUGCGGUCUGUCAUAUCUGUUUUCCGUUUACUGUCACAAAUCAGCCUGUUGGUUUUCUCAUUUGAAUUGUUUCAUGUCUUUAUUGUUUGACAUUUUAUAUAAUUAUAUGGGGUUUCCUCAUUAUUGAAGGCCAAACAGUGACCGAUAGUUGCUUACUAUUGCGUCAUUUGACUUUGGUGGAUUGUUGACUCAUUACGACUUCGCCUGAUUGUUAUUUUAAUUUGUACUAGCUUUCAGUAACUCUUGAGUAGUCUUUGAUCGGAACUUUAUGUCAUUUUUCUUCAUUACAGUUGUUUUUGUACUUCAAGUCAAUAUAAUAAAUAUAGUAAAGCCAUUUUCGACUGAGUUUUACAGUUCUUUCUUGUGCUUUUUCGCUAUUGUCCCAGGUAAGGGGAGGAUUAAAUGCUCACUUCCAUGUUUUACCACGCCACAUUCUUAAUGAGUCUGUUCCAAUCAGGAGCCUAUAAUUCAGAGGUCGACCUUGUUGAAUUUUGUCACACUUGUCUAGACACUUGACGGUUAUAUGGUAUUAUAAAGCGUUUGCGUUUGCACACAUUUUUUUGAAGAAAGGUAGAAAGCGGACUUCUACAUACCCGAUGUCUAGUUUGAUUAUUAUUUUUAUUGCUGUCACAUUAACGAAGUCUCCAUUAGUUCAUAAUAAAUCAACCGAUACAACUCAAAACUGCAUAACUUACACACAAUCUAAAUCGCAUUAAUUUGAUUGGUCAAGGAAUAUCUGUUUAUUUUCAGACAUUUGAGAGUUGUUGCAGACAUGAUAGGUAUACUAUAGAUUCAUGAUUACUUGAUUUCUCUCAUGGAACAUAUUAAUACAUCUUGAUAUAGAAUCAAUAAUGAAUAUAAAGACGUUGACAUGUGUAAUUAUUAAUCUAUCACAUCCUAUCAUACCACGUAGUCCUGAGAAAUAAUAACUGUCUCCAAAGCUGAAAAGACACAUCGUUUCCACUAUCAUUUUACUAUCAUAAUUGAAUAAUUCUACCCCUUAGAGAGCGUAAAAGAAUAAAUCUAUUAGGUUAGCAAUCAAACUAAAAGCAUCUUUCAUAAUUAAUAGGGUAAGAUAUCAAAACAGUAAUAGGAAUUACGGGUUUGGCUAAAAUGGGUAUCCAAUAAUGUUUUGUUGGAUUGCUUUUGUAUUAUAAAUAAUAUUACUUGUUAUAAACGAGGAUUGUCAGACAAAAUCAUAAAGUACGAAGAGUAAAUUAAUUUUCUUAUUUAUAAUAUAUAAAUUGACCAUCAUGUUGUCAUUAUAAUCGGACUGUUUUCACUCCGGAAGGUAGAUUAUUGUUUCUGAGAACAAAUCAAUUUCUGGUUCUUUAAAUUAACAGAUGAUAGCAUAUUGUUAUACUAUAGCAUUAAUUGAAUUUAAUAAUUAAGAUGGAUGAACAUUAUGUGGUAGAUACAUUUAACAAUAAACUUACAAUGAAUCCAUCGAAAUUUGAAGUUUUUUUUUCAAAUAUUAAAAGCAUGGUAUAGAAAUAGAAAAUAGAAUUAAGGUAUGAUCAUUUUGAUAAAAAAGAUAAGAUACUUAAUCAGCUCUUCAUUGUAAUAAUGUAUCUGAAUGAAUAAAUAAAAUAGCAUAAAAUUGUUAAAGGAAACUAAAAGCUCAUUCUAAGUUUGGAUAGGUGCAUUUAAACCAAAGGAUUAACUGGGGCAAUAUGCGCAAUUGUUUCUACAUAGGCGGUAAUGGUAACGUUUUCUUCUCUAGCUCAGUGCAGAUCGUAAACUUGAAUAUGAAUGAUGGCUCGUUUCGAAGCUGAGACAUUUUCACAUAUGUGGUUAUACUUUUGGGGUACAGAGUGUGAUUAAUUUUUCCGUAAAUUUGCAUAACCCGAAAAUCCUUUCUUGGUGCGGCUCCUCAUGGUAAAAAAAUCCCUUUUUCACACAAUAAUUGCUUUGAAAAUUUAAUACUUUCAAUGCAUUUAAUAACUAGUUUUUACAUAUUUAUUCUAUUGUCCUCUACUUUCCAGAUCCACACAAAUGGUUAAGCUCAGUCACUUGUUGAAAACAGAGAUUUUUUUACAUACAACUUUUGCGUUCGUCAAUUGGAGGUACAUAAGAGAUAUUGACCUAACAGGGGUAAACAAUAUUGUCAGCCCUAGGACUUCUCCCGUUCCGGCAAUACAUUUAUUUCUAGUUAUUGACAAUAGAGAACAGAUGAAAUCGGUUUAAAAAUACCAAUCAUGGAAGCAAACACAAAAUGAGGGAUUCACAUUAAUACCUAAAAGCUCCAGACCGGUUGUGUCUAUUUUAUGCGGGAGGCAUGAACACGUACCCACGUCUGGUCGAAAUGUUCAUGUUAUGUUCGAUAUCUCGCACAGAAAAAGUUCCAUGCUGUUUGCAUGUGAAAAAAGCCUACUCCGAAAAGUUCCGUUGGUGGCCUGUUGCAAUGCAAAAUUUAUGUCCUUAUCAAAUAUCCAUCAUGUUCCAUCGGAAGCCACACCAAUUACAACGAUCGACCCCUUACUUGCAUUACCUACAUGUUGUAUUAGUUGAUUAUUUGUUUUCGCCUCAACAAUGCAUGAUCUAUUUCCAGUGGACGUACGGCAAAAACGAGUCAAUCAAUCAUACAUGAAUUUUAUUUGCCUUUAUAAUGAUUACGAUUAUAACACAAUGUUCAACGCUGUACCCCUGGCUUAUGUUUUUUUAACAUUUUUACCUAUUAUGUCUGACCGUUUUGUUCACACAUCGUAUUCAAUAUAAUGGAAUUUUAUGCGACUGUCAUACAAUUGAGAUGUUCAGCUAGCUAUUAAACCAGGAUUAAUUCACCACUUGGUACGUAAGAAAACGCUUUUAACACGUCACUAAUAUGGCCUGUGUUAUCCAUUCGUUUGAUGUGUUUCAGAUUUUCAUUUUGCCAUUUGCGUAGGGACUUACAAUUUUAAAUUUUCCGUGGCGAUCGGUAUUUUUAUUAUUUUGAUUUUUAAUACUGUCCAGGCUUAUGUUUCGUGGUUCAAAUGAAAAUUAUGCAAAUAUUUGUUGAUAACAAAUAUUAUAGCUAAAUAUAUUUUUUGAACCGAUGAUAGUAUUUGACAAGAUUGCAUUAAAAUGGAAUGAGGAAGAUGAGCCGAUGCUUAAAUAAGAUCAAAUUAAUAUGAAAAUGACUUUGAUCUUGUCCCACAGAACUCGAACCUUUAUUUAGUAAAAAUUCAAAUUCACAUAGCUGCAUUUGUUUUAUCAGAAUGAAUGUAGCUUUUUACAUAGAAGAGAUGACUGCAAGGAGGCAAAUACAAUAAAAUGUUGAAAUACUCAAAUACCAUGGCCUAAAAAAAGAAGAAAAUAUGAAACCGUCGGGUAACAUUUCAUUUUCAGAAGAAACUUUAAAAUCCUUCAUUAUCGCUUAAGUAUUUCCAUCAAUAAUAAUAUAAUUCAUGUUAUAGAAAAACCUAUGUUUAGAAGACCUACCAGGGUAUACCAUGGUUAUUUUGAUGAUGAUUGACAAUGAAUAAAAUAAUAAACAUAUUUGUAAAAACCAAUCAGAAUUUUUUCAGUUAUUUUCAUUGCCGGUUGUUGAAGACUAUCGUUCUGCGUUAAAAUCAGUGGUAGAAAAGAAUUAAGUUGUUUUAAAAUCUAAAAUAUAAGAGAAAAAUGAAAAUUCACCAUUUGUCAAAGCUGCGAUACAAUUAUCUCAUGAAGACGAUUGUCAUAAUGUGUACCUAAAUUGGUGACAAUUUCACACAGAGAGUCAUAAACGAUUUUAUAUAAAAACAUAUUUUUGCCUUAAAGAUAUCAACAUCCGAUAUGAUAGAACUGGACCAUUAAGUCCACCAUAGAAUCAAAAUCAUAGCAGUGGGAGUCGUGUGGCUUCAUUUAUGUCUUAGAUUUCCUAGCUAUACCACGACAGCUUUAUUAAAAUCAAAGCUUUAAAAUCAACAAUUUAAAGGACGAAAACUGAUAUCUUAAAAAGUUUUAAAGGGGAACGAUUUCCCACGAGAUGAUAAGAUUGCAUUUAUAAAGUGUUUUAAACACUUAUAGUCGCAGAAUUGCACAAGACCCAGCAUGAUCCUUGAAAGAAAUCGCUUCUAAAGUAACAAAAAGAAUCAUGAGAUGAUAAUGACAUAUAUUGAUUCUUGGACUAUUAAAGUUAGUAUGGUCACAUAUUGUAUUCAGUCUGCUUACAAUACUUCUAUUCUUUUUAAGUUUAGAUGUAUGACAGUUAUACAUAUUAAAUAAAUGUUCUAGGAAGCCUCUUUUAUUGAUAAACUACAUAAGGUUAUCUCAUUGAUAAAGGUUUUGAGGGGGAAAUAAAAACAAGAGGAACGUAAAUAUGUCUUCUCCUAGAAAAUUAAACACAUACAAAUAAGUGUCUGGCAUAGGCUUUUGUCAGAAAAAAAAUAAAAAUAUCUCAAAAGUUAUCUCAAAUUUCGAUUAUUAAUAUGAAUGGCGUGUAACCUGGUUUUGAGUAUAGAAGGAGAUUUAAACUUUUGAGCCAUCUGUGUCUAACUUUAUUAUGCUCUUUGUUUUAAACGAAUUUAUCAUAGUUUAAAAUUUAAAAAUUUAAUAUAUGAUAAUGAAUCGUGUGCACUAAAGUAAUUUUUGAUAAUGGUAAUGGUUCGUUCAGAAGAUGUCACUGGUACCAUUUUACCAGUAUCUAGUUCUUAGGUAGUGGCAUCAGUACGUUUUCGUAUUCACUGAUCCCAAUCUUUGGUCUUAAGUUAAAUAUUUUUAAAAUGUGUCUGUCAUAAAGUAAUAGGAGAUGUUCGUUAUUAUUCUUUGGUUUAUAUGUUGUACUGUACCAUUAUAUUAUUUAUUAAUGUAUUUCCCAGUUCUGAGUGUUCCUGCAUUUAUAUUUAGUCUGUUCAUGUUACGUAAUAUUGUCAUACUAGCGGUAUCUUUAACAUUGCCAUAUAAGCGGGAGGUUUUGCUAUCCUUAUAAUCAGGGUCACCCACCUUUUUGUUUCUUACAAUGUCCUAUACCAAAUCAGGAAUAUGGCUGUUAUGAACACUGCAAUGUUGUUUAAGCCCCUGUAUUUUUUUGUUUUAAAUAUUUGUCUUUGAGUGAAUACAAAAUUGUUUCGGAAAUGUUUUUGCACCCUUAUUUCAGUAUUUUCAUGUUUUCCAUUUAUUCAAAAAGAACGCGUUGCUAAACUAUCCAGCAGUUACGUUAAGUACAAUUCGCUAGUUUUUGCAAAGAGGGGUCAUACAAGAAAGAAAUGCAUUGUUUAAAUGAAAAUGAAACUCUGGAAAUGCAACUUAUAUGAAGGUGAAUCCAGAAAAGCGCUUCGGACCUAUUUAAAUUAUUAAACGUGUUGUUUUCAAUUUUUUAUAGACAGUACUAUAAAUCGCCCUUCCUUACAACUUGCCACAUACGAACUAGUCCACUGUUGACAACUGUAUCGGAACGGAUUUCUGAUUUGGAUAUCUUGUGUUGUUUUGACUGGUUUCUUUAACAAUUAUACUUUGGCCUUUUUUACUUUCAAGAACUGAGACAUUUUCAAGAUUCCACUUACUUUUUAAUUUAGAAAUUAACUAUGCUUGUUUGUUGUCAAUAAGGAGAUGAAAUUUAAUUGCAUAAUAAUUUUCAUUAAUGUUGGCCUUUGAUUUAGAAAUUGAGAAAACUGUUUAAAUCCUCUCUGUGUUCUUAUUGGUAUAAUUGAAGAAUUAGAGGGCUCAAAUAUAAAAUUGGUGGAAACGUUUUAUUUCUUAUCAUGAAAUUAUUUUACGUUCUUCUUGCAAUUUCCUCAACAUCAAUCAUAAAGUACAUUUAUUAUUAUAUUUCGUUGUCGUUCUGAGAUGUUACAGAAAUUUGUGAAAUCUGUUCAUUAAUUAUACAAGUGACAAUUUACUUGCAAAGAUUCUGAAUUGAACGGUGUUUCUAAAGAUGAAUAUUGCCUUUACCUGGGACUAACGACAUUUUAAUAGCCGUGAUACCAGAAAAAGGUAUGGUAAACUUAAUAUGAAUAAGUUAUAAAUCUUUUCCCAGGAAAACAACAAAGGAAUUCUAAUAUCUUUUAGAAAGCUAAUUAAGCACAAUUUAGGGACUUGUGAUAUUCAAAUGUUUCUUCUUAAACUGAACAGGAUAUUGAAAUGAUUAGUAAAAAUCGAUUUAUUGACAAAACCAUAGAAAUUUAUCAUGGUUAUUUUCUCUCUUCUUGUAUUUCUCCGGGUACGUUUAGUGUCAAUUUUAUAAUUGAAAUAUGUAACUAGACAAGAAAACUCAUACUUUUUUUCAGAAAAGAAUACAAAUAAACUCUUCAUAGAUACUAUGCUUAACAUUUUGAACGCCAGACGCGCGUUGGGAAAAGGUCCAUAACGACAAUAACAUUUACCGUGUAAACGAAUAACUGAUAACACUGAAAACUACAAUUUCAUUUCAUCUGUUUUACUCGAUAUCUUUUAUUUGCAACUUCUUUUUAGCUGUCAGAUUAUACCAAAGUCAAAUUCCAUCAACUUGUUUAACAACAAUCCUUUCGUUGCACAUUUGAAUAAGCAAAUGAUGAUCUUAAUGAUUUUCGAGAGUUUAUUAUAAAGCAUAUUCAGUUGUUUUUUUUUAUAUGACUGUCAUACACGUGAGAGGUUUAGCUAGCUUUAAAACCAGGUAUAAUCCACCAUUUUCUACUUAAGACAAUACCUGUACCAAGUCAGUAACAUAACAUUUGUUAUCCAUUCGUUCGAUGUGUUUCAGCUUUUGAUUUUGUCAUUUGAUUAUGGAUUUCCCAUUUUGAAUUUUCCUCGGAGUUCAGUUUAUGUGUGAUUCUACUGUUUAAUCAUUGUUACUCUUAUUUAUUUCUUUAUUACUUGGUUUAACUAUUUGCAAUAGCGAUGACACAAAUGAUUAGCUGCUUGAAACAUAAUUUAUGGACAUAUAUAUAGAAAUUGCAUAUUCUUCUCUUUUUCAAAAACUCACUGUUUCAUUCUCAUCUUUCAAUUAUCUAAAACAAUUGAAGCACUGGUGUAUACAAUAGCAUGAUUAGAAAUAAAAGUAACGGUGCCACUGUAUCGCUAAUUUUCUUAAAUAUAAAGAAAAUGCAGCCUACGAAAUACAUAAACAUUCAAAUUUAAAAAUAAGUGUUUUUGAAUAGAAAAAUGUGGUACUUAACUAUGAAGCAAUAUCCCAACAAACAAUAUAUUUUUUUAUAUUUUGACAACUGAAGCUUGUCUAGUCUGUAUUUUAGUUUACGCGUACACUUUUUACGAGCAAUUCAUGAAUAUUUCUAAGCAGAUAAUCUUGACUUAUCGACAUUAUUAGUUUUUUGUUCGACAAACUCAUGUGAAACCUUACACAUCAGGUUGUCUUUUUUAUUAUUUUACUUUUGACACUUGUCAUUAGGCCUGCUUUUAAUUAUACUCGUUUCUUACAUAAAGUAGUCAUUCAUGCAAGUUUUAGUAGAUUAAUGGCACUUGAUUGAAUUCAUUUUCUACUGAAACACCUGUAUAACAUACCUUUAUUAUCCAACAGAUACCACAAAAUCCCUUUCAAAAUAGUUUUAUUCAAUCUCUCUAUGAACGAUGAAGAACAUAAAGAUUAAUUAAUUCCAGGACACGCCUAUGUAAUUAACAACAUUAGUUCGCAUGGUGAAAAUCAUUAGAAGAUUAAGGUAACUGUUCAAUUCAUUAUACAAAUUUAGUUUUCACUGUAAUCAAAAAUAAUCCUUCACAUGUAACACAUUGUAAGAUCAAAAGGCGUCUUUUAAAUUUUAGUUUUUGUCUAUUGAUAAUCAAUCUAUUUCUUAAAUUAUUUAGUGUAAGCAAUAUGAAGAAGAAUUUUGUAAACUGAAAAACAUGCAAAUUUAACAGAAACCAUUAUGUCUUCUUAAAUGAUUUCAAACGGCUUUUCAAAAGUUAAGAAAUUAUGAAUUACGGGAGCAAAUUAAAGAAAUACAAAUUAAAUCUUUAAGUUAUUUCUUUGAUAUCGCAUACACGUUCAUGUUUAACUCGCUUUAUUCUACUUUUAUUUUGUACUUAUCUGUUUAUUCUAGAAAGUAACCCGUGCAGUGCAAGAUCAUACUUACUAAGAAUUGAUUUAUCUUUUUUUUUAAUAAAAAGUAAAGUAACAAAAAUACUGAACUCCGAGGAAAAUUCAAAGCAGAAAGUCGGUAAUGAAAUAGCAAAAUCUAAAGCUCAAACACAUCAAGCGAAUGAAUAACAAUUGUCAUAGUCCUGCCUUGGUGCAUGCAUUCUCUUAUGUAGAAAAUUGUGGAUUGAAGCUCGUUUUGUCGCUAGCUAAACCUCUCACUAGGCUAAUAGUCGCAUAUAAUUUAUAUUUACGCUCGGAUUUAAAGUGACAUUUUGAAGUACAUACCAUUAUUAAAUAUAUCUUAUAUGGGCUGUUUUUCUCAUGAAGUCAUUCCAUAUAUAUUGACAUUGUUUUAAGGCAAUUAACGGAUCCUUUGAAAGUUGUAACUUAUAGCAUUGCUUACAUGAAUGUUACAGGAAACUCAUAUUUAAAGGGUCCUUAAUUUAGAUUAAGUGCAUACGAUACAGUUAUAGGCGAGGUCAUGACGUAUCUAUCGUAAAAUUUCGCGACGACGUCAAACUGAAAACUUUUGGGAAAAGGUGCAUAUUUUGACUGUUUUUUUAUGCCUUAAACUGAUUUAACUUGAAAACGAGUACAUCUUGAAACUUUGUUAUAAACUAAUUAUUUCAAAAGAACUGUUGUACAUAUUACAUUAUGUUUUUACAAAACUCCGCUUGUGUUUAUCCCUUGAAAUAAAAAAGUUAGAUACAUUUAUCUUAAAGAUAGAAAUGUCAAGAAAAACGAUAUUUUGAGUGAAUGUUUAAAAACAAUUUUGCUUUAUUUGAUAUCAAAUGAUAGACAACUUCUGAUGAAAAAAAAAAUAAAAAUAUUUUUAACAGAUUUACCUUAUGAAAGCAUAUUACUUCACUUGGAUGACCGGGUUGAAGUUAAUAACCUCAUUCCUACAAUAGACCCUUUUGCAACAUUAGAUUUAAAUGGAUUAAAGAGUUUCAAGGAUAGGUUUUCUUACUCUUGUCACAAUUCUAGUUCUGGAGGACAUAUAUCAGUUCACGUAUCAGAGCCAAUUUCGCCCAAAGAAAUCGAUCUGGGAUAGAUUUUUUCACUCAAAUGUUAAUUUCCCAAAUAUUCCCCUUAAAUGCAAUGUAAAAUGCAAUACACUUAAUUUAUCAAAUUGUUAACCGAUCUUUACAAAAGUUAACUCAGAAAGUGUUCGAGCCAUAUUUGAUUGUGAUAGACUAAAUGGUUACAAAUGAGAAGAUUUAAAUGUCAAAAUGACUACUACCGACACCAAGAAAUAACCAAUCCUGACACGACCUUUGACCAUUUCAGCUGAAACUUUUAGAAUAUCACAUAGAAUAAUGAAAUUUAAUUUAAACAAAAAUAGAUGAAUGUUGAGAUGAAUAAAUUACCAAAACUCUUGAUAACAAAGUGAGGACAAAGUUAUGGACACAUCGAAAUAUUCUUAAAUUAAGUUCCAGUUUUAAUAAGUUUUGAAAUAUUUUACAAUGGAAACAUACUUACAGAUAUCUGACUUUGAAUAGAUAACUGAAAAGUAGUUUAUGUUGAUUUUGUGUUGAAAGUUAAACCAAGGAAUGUACACUUUGUUCUAAUUAGAAUGCCUACAACUAAUUGAAAAAAGUUUUUAUGAUUGGCACUUAAAGGGGCUUGUUGCGAGGAUCAAUAUCUUAAAAUUUUUUAAGUGCUUUUAAGAAAAGUGAUUUUUCUGUAUUUUACCUCAGGUAUACGAAGUCACUUUUAUUUCAUUACCUUUUAUACGGUCUCAUGCUAUACCUUGAUAUAUCCUGCAAAACGCAAGAGUAUAAAAUGUGUUUGUUAAAGAAAUACUAGUAAGGCUUGGGUAAAACAUUGCAUCAAUUCGAAAUGUUGAAUAACCAGAUAACAAAAGACCUAGAUAUGGUCGUCUCUAGAGUACCACUCUUAUCCAUAACAAAAAAAAACAAAUAAAUGGAAAAAAGGAAAACAUACCAAUUAACUGUGAGCCGAAAAACAUUAUCGCCUAAAUAAAAAAUCGCCAUACAACAUUAAUCUGAAAGGCAUAGAAAAGGUAACACACAAAAUUUGAACAAUUUGGUUUAUUUUUGGUUAUAUAGCUCUUCAAAUGUUUCGGUUUUUAUAAAUCCUUGGCUUUCAAAUAUUUGGUUUUAAACGUUCAUGAUGCAGGUAAAGCAUGAAAUGUAUAUAACUAGUUGUUUUCAUUUUUGAACGAGGUAUCAGGUGAUCUAAACAGAUACCAAGUCCUGCUCCAAAGCGUUGGGCGUUCGUCGAGUUGUUUAUGACAAGUCAAACGCAUUGGCAAGUUGCAUUUGUUCACAAAUCGCUGUCAAUGUAAUGGAGUUUUAUGCGACUUUCAUAUAAGUGAUAGCUUUAGCUAGCUAUAAAACCAGGUUUAAUAUAUGUAUACAGUAGGGAUUAUAGUUGGUGAUUAAGAUUAUGACACAAUGUUUAUUGCUGUACCCCUAUUUUUGACAAUUUUACCUAUUAUGUGUGUUUGUUUUGUCCAUACAUCGUUGUCACUAUAAUGGAAUUUGAUGCAACUGUCAAACAAGUGAGAGGUUAAGCUAGCUUUUAAACCAGGUUUAAUCCACCAUUCUUUACAUACGAAAAUGCCUGUACCAAGUCAAGAAUAUGAAAGUUGUAGAUAAAAAGCGCGUCUGGCGUAUUAAAUGAUAAUCCUGGUACCUUUGAUAACUAUUUACACCACUGGGUCGAUGCCAUUGCUGGUGGACGUUUCGUCCCCAAGGGUUUCACCAGCCCAGUAGUCAACACUUCGGUGUUGACAUGCAUAUCAAUUAUAUGGUAAUUUUUCAUAAAUUUCCUGUUUACAAAACAUUGAAUUUUUCAAAAAACUAACGUUUUUCUUUUCCCAGGAAUAAAUUACCUUAAUUUGUUUAGAAUGAAAUUCAAAACAGUGUGGCUGUGACCAUUGAUUGACACAUUAAAUUCAUUCAUUGACUGGGACAAUUUAGGUGAACGUUUGUAUGUAACGAUCACUGUAGUUACUAUGUACUUUUUAAAGACACUUAAACUAUGGGGUCAUUAAAGGUUCUCAACACCUUAAUAAAGUAAUUCGAAAAAUUAAUCAGAAAUAACACGAUGUUUUGAUUUAUAUCAAUUAUAUAAAUCAAAACAUAAAGGUCAUUCCUGAUUAAUUUUUCGAAUUAUUUUAUAAUUAAAGGCGUUAAGAAACCUUUGGUGACCCCACAGUUUAAAUGUCUAUCGUAGGUACGUCGUGAACAGUGGUCGUUACAGACAAAUGUUCACGUAAAUUGUCUCAGUCAAUGGAUGAAUUUAAUGUGUCAAUCAAUGGCCACAGCCACACUGUUUUGAAUUUCAUUAUAUGUGUUACAUAUUUGUUUUUCGUUCAUUCUUUUAAUAUAAAUAAGGCCGUUAGUUUUCUCGUUUGAAUUUUUUUUUCAUAUCAUAUCGAGACCUUUUAUAUCUGACUAUGCGGUAUGGGCUUUGAUCAUUGUUGAAUGCCAUACGGUGACCUACAGUUGUUAAUGUUUGUGUCAUUUUUGUCUCUUGUAGACAGUUGGCUCAUUGGCAAUCAUACCACAUCGUCUUUUUUUUUAUAUUAGCCGUUUUUGGCACAACUUUUUGGAAUUUUGGGUCCUUAAUGCUCUUCAACUUUGUAUUUGUUUGGCUUUAUAACCAAUUUGGUCUGAGAGUCACUGAUGAGUCUUAUGUAGACGAAACUCGCGUCUGGUGUAUUAAAUUAUAAUCCUGGUACCUUUCAUAACUAGUUAUCCAUUCGUUUGAUGUGUUUGAGCUUUUGAUUUUAUCAUUUGAUUAGGGAAUUUUCCUCAGAGUUAAGUAUUUUUGUGAUUUUCUUUUUAUUACAGCCAUAUAUAAGUAUUCAUAAUUUUACGCUAAAUACAAUAGUUCCUUAAGCUUAUUCAACCCAAUAUUUUUAGAUAAGGAAUCAUGACUAAAUUGUUAAAAAAAGUAACAACAAUUUAUUAGAACUUUUUUUUUAACAAAAAUGAUUCAAAUGAAAAAGAAAAAUGGAUGAUAAAUAAAGUUAAUAUUCAGACAAUUAAAAUAAAGAAUGUAAAAAAAUGAAAUGCAUAAAUAAACAAAUAAAUACUGUGAUAGAGCACACAAAAUAUGUAGUAUGGACUGUCCGAAAAUGACUAAAAACCAAAAACUCAGUUUCAAAUUGAAUUCAAAGUGAAUUCAAAAAGAGUUUGUGUGUUGGGGGGAAGGUGAAGGUGGCGGGCAUUUAACCUGACAGAAUCAAACAACAUUGUUCUCAGACAUAACAGCUUCUAUCAGAAAUUUUUCUGAAGGUGUCAAGAGAUUAGAGCCUGUUUUAAGUUGUACUGACAUUUUCUAACACAUUCGAAUACAACUUUUAACUAAUACCAAAUGUAUUGGUUGUCAUAGAUAUUCUGUAAUUGUUGAUUAGAUUACGAUGGCGUCUUUCAAACUUCCGGUAGCUAGGUAGAAACCCUGAAUAAAGAAAGUUGGGAUAAGAAACCCAAGCCCUAGAAAGUAAUGCAUCACAUUUGAGGUCUAUUCCCCAUUUCCAAGCACUUCUUUAAAUGUAGUAAUGCCUCUAUUAUUGAAUAUCCCUAUCUAGUCAUCAAAUAUCAGAAUAAGAAUAAAUAGUAUUUUUGAAGUUUAAGUGGAAAUCAAGAACAAUUAUUAUAUGUUUACGUUUCAUUCAAAAAUUUACAAAAAACAGUGUCAAAAUCAACACUACACGAAAUUUUAACUUUCUAAAAUAAUCAGCUAUCAUAACAGUACACAAGCAUUGGAACAGGUUUAAGGAAAGACAACCUUCCCGUCCGACAAUGUUCACGACUACUAUUGAAAUAAAGGUGUGAUCCUAAUGAGCACCACAGGAAUUCUGUUCGUGUGUGUUUGUUUUUUUUGACCUUUUAUACUUCAAGUCAUUGGUUGACAAUAUUCUUCCAAAAAAAUUGUGACAUAAGAAAUAUUGUAGAAUUGAAAAGUACAAACUGAUAACUUAUUGUCACGCGGGAGGCGCCAUUAGGGACAAAUUUCGAGGAUAAUUAUGCCCUAGACAUCCUUUUAUCCUACACGUCUUUAUGAAGUCAUAUUUGUUUGCAUUGAAGAUUCUACAAGUUUUUUUUUGCUUCCUGAUUAUACCUUGAUGAAACUUUUUUUUCUAAUUAAAACUGUUUUCUGGCAUUAAUAAAAGAUGAAGUAAAUACAAUCUUCACGGUGACAUUUAUUAUACUUAAUGUCUCAAUAUUAAUAGCCAGAGAAGCGGUUUUGUUGACACAAGAAUCGUUAAUAUAACAAUUUAUAUUUAAUCUAAUUGGAUCACAAAUGCAUGAAAUCACAACUGAAAGCCGUAAUGAAAUUUUCAAUCUCUGAUAGUUUCUCAAUCUUUCCUUAUUGUUUACACAGAAAUUCAUGAAUACACUUUAAGUUAUUAAACUAGAGAUAGUAAUGGAAUAGACUUAGGUUUCUGUUUGUGAAAUUCUACAAUUAAAUUCCUUGUGCCAUACCCUGGAGACUUUUCAUAGAAUUUAUUACAUUAUAUUAUUGUGUUUUCAUUUUAUCAUAUCGUGUUGUCUUGAGAGAAGAUCAGGUCUGUAAGCUGUAAGGAUUGUCUCCACUUUGUACACGUUUUUAUAACUUAUAAUUGUAAAUUUUGAAGAUAGGAUUGAUUGAUUGUUGGUUGCUUAACGUCCAGUAGCAAAUUUGAAGAUAGGAAGGGGAAGGUAUAGUCGUAAAGAUAUUGUUAUACUGAACAAAAAACACACAAUAAUCAAAACAUUGUGAGGUCAAAACUUAUUAAAAUAAACAAGUAGACAUUGUUUUCUGCGUUCUUAUUUUUUGAAAUUUUUAGAAAUUUUAGUUACUUGCAAGUCAGAUAUUGCUUUGAAUUUGUGAUAUUCAUAUUUUUCUUUAAAAUGUAUUAAGAGAGGGAAUAUAAGGCUAGCUUGUACGUGGAAUUGUGAGGAUUUUUUAAAAAUAAAAUAUCAAAGUAUACGAAAUCAAUUAAAAUAAAAUUCAAUUUUAAGAGUUGCAGAAACUACAACCCUCAUUAGCGUGAAUAAAAUAUCGCAUCUAUAAGAUUCAGUUAUCACGUUUGCAUGCUAUAUGGCAAUAACUAUACAUUUAAAUUUAUAAUUUAAUGCCGAUAAAUACAAACUGAAAUGUUUUAUCAAUAGCUUUAAAACGAAGGUAAACAAAUGCAAUAUGUCUUGUACUGAUUAGGAACAUGUUUUCAUCUUUAAACUAAGUAUGCACUAUAACAUAUAUAACAUACAUAAACACUGUUUAAAAAUACAUUCCUACAAUCCCUUUUUGACAAAUUUUAAACUGAAAAUACUUUUAUUUUAAUAUAAAAUGUAUGAUUAUUAAAACAAUGUGUUUUGUCUAAAAUUUUAAUUUAUCACGAUAAUAAAUUAUCAAUACAAAAUAAAAAAAUAAAAAAGAUUAGUCAUGAAAACAACAUCCUUUAACAACUUCGACGGAAAAACUAAUAUGUAAAAUAUGAUUUAAGGUAGAGAAAAGAUUUUUUUUAUGCACUGAUCACUUUCAUUUUAUUUAGAUAAGCAGUAAAAUGCAAAAUAAGAAAACAAAUAAAAAAGAACCCAGUUAGUAGAUUUUGAGGAGGACGACCAGAACAAAAUUUCACAAAAUAACUAUGAAAAUAUCUUCUUUCUAAAUAUGUUGUUUGCAUACCAAUAAAAUAAUAUCUACUUUCUAUUCAAAGAAAGACAACUCGUCUUUCAAAUACUUAAAUAUCUUUCUCUGGGAAUCGACAAAUUAAUGAUGCGUGUUAUGAUUAUUUUUUUUUUAUUAUCUGGCAUUGUUAAAUUUGCCUGCAGAAAGAAAACAACUUUGUAUUCUGAAUGGCGUUUUGUUUUUAUGAAUAGCAUUUUUUUUCAAGAUUUAUAGUAUUUAAUGUCAGCACGCGUAAUAACUACAUACCAGAUGAGGUGAUACCUACAAUAAUUCAGACGUCGAUUAGAAGCAGCAUUGACACAGUGAAUGUAAAAAGGAAAAUACCGCUAGUAGUUUAUGCCACAGGACUAAGUGCAUCCAGCUAUCCGUUUUUCUCAAGUUUUUUUUUUUUUUUUUGGGGGGGGGGGGGGAGGGGAGGUUAGGACCAUGGUUUGAUUAGAACUUUUGAGGUUUUUAUGGUUUUGUUAUAUUUUGUAUAUACUUGUAUUUAUGUUUUACUUUAUGGUACUUUAUUAAGAAGUUGUAAAUGAAAAAAAAAAGAAAACAAUUGUUAACAAACUAACUGAACUCCUAGGUAAAUUAUGUUUUACUAAACUGUGUGUACGAUGAGCUUCACACAACUUUUCGAUGGCGUCUUUGUCAGAUUUUUUGUAACGUUAACCAAGUGUGUCAGUUUGGGUUGCCAACUUCAUAAGGUCAAUAUAACGGACUUGUUAAAAAAAAACUGUCAUGCAAGUGGGAUGUUUAGCUAGUUAAUAAAAAAAAAGUAAAAUCACAAAAAUACUGAACUCCGAGGAUAAUUCAAAUCGGAAAGUUCAUAAUCACAUGGCAAAAUCAAAUGAUAAAACAUAUCAAACGAAUGGACAACAACUAUUAUAUUCCUGACUUGGUACAGGCAUUUUCAAAUGUAGAAAAUGUGGAUUGAACCUGGUUUUAUAGCGCUUAACCUCUCACUUUAGCAUCGAAUUCCAUUAUAUUGACAAUGAUGCGUGAAAAAAAUGUCACAAAUAGGGGUACAAAAAAGCAACACGAAUCCCAUCAAAACUGGAGUGAUUUCAGGUGCUCCGGAAGGGUAAGCAGAUCCUGCUUCACAUGAAGCACAAGUCGUGUUGAUGAUGUUAUUACAAAGCCAGUAAAUAGUCAAAUUCGAUAGGUCACAUUCGUGAAAAGGGAAGGGGAUUGUAGUUACGAUAAAGAGAACAUAUCCGAUACAACUUGUAUAAGGCGUUGAGGCCUGGAUUGAGUCGGGUGUGUCUAUUCUGUGUUGGUCUUUCAUUGUGUAUUCGUGUUUGUUUUAUGUAAUGAGUUAAUACUUCAGUUUAAUUAUGUAUAUCUGUUAUAUUCAUUUGAUAAAAUUUACUGUUUGCAAUAGCAUUAAUUGUUCUAAAUAAUAAGGAUGUUCUUAUCCCAAGCAUAAAAACUUAAAAACUUAGCCGUAUUUGACACAACCUUUUUCAACUUUUGAUCUUCAGUGCUGUACAACUUUGUACUUUUUUUCGCUUUCGAUCUUUUAUAUCUGGGCGUCACUGGUGAGUCUUGUGUGGACGAGGCGCGUUUUUGGCGUAUUAAAUUUUAAACCUGAUGCUUUUUGUUAUUCAUUAAUCAUGUGUUUCUUUGUCUAAUACGUUCUCCUAUUUAUUUGUAUUGUAGUCCUGUAAUAUUAUGUUGUCAUUUCAAUGUUAUAUUUAACAUUGCCAUUAAAGUGCGAGGUUUGGCAUGCCACAAAAUAGUUAUCAAAAGUACCAGGAUUAUAAUUUUAUACGCCAGACGCGCGUUUCGUCUACAUAAGACUCAUCAGUGACGCUCAGAUCAAAAUAGUUAAAAAGCCAAAACCAUGUUCAACCCACCAUUUUAUCCUUUAAAAAUGUCCUGUACCAAGUCAGGAAUAUGGCCAUUGUUAUAUUAUAGUUCGUUUCUGUGUGUGUUACAAUUUAACGUUGCGUCGUUUGUUUUCUCUUAUUUUUGAGUGUAAAUUGAAAUUGCGAUAAGACGUGUCACGGUACUUGUCUAUCCCUAAUUCAUGUAUUUGAUUUUGAUGUUAUAUUUGUUAUUCUCGUGGGAUUUUGUCUGAUGCUUGGUCCGUUUCUGUGUGUGUUACAUUGUAGUGUUGUGUCGUUGUUCUCCUCUUAUAUUUAUGCGUUUCGCUCAGUUUUAGUUUGUUACCCGAUUUUGUUUUUUGUCCAUGGAUUUAUGAGUUUGAACAGCGGUAUACUACUGUUGCCUUUAUGUAUAACGGAUAUUCCAUAACGGUCGACCAACUCGUGAUUGCGUCCGUAAAAGUUACGAAGGGAUGAUUUCAACUUCACCAUUUGGAUCUCUUGGUUUAAAAAGGAAAAGGUCACAAUUGAGAAGCUGAAAUCAUCUCUUUAGUAGUAAAGUUUUGUUUUCAACCGACUCUCAUAGUCAAUUUCUAGAUAUAAGUCAUAAUCAAAUGGCAAAAUCAAAAGCUCAACACAUCAAACGAAUGAGUAACAACUGUCAUAUUCCUGAUAUGGUACAGGCAUUUUCAUAUGUAGAAAAUGGUACAUUGAACCUGAUUUUGUAGCGCUUAACAUCUCACUUGUAUGACAGUCGCAUCAAAUUCCAUUAUAUUUACAACGAUGCGUGAACAAAAGCCACAUUAUAGGUAAAAUAGUUAAAAUGUUUGAAACUAGUUUGUUGUCUUUAUCGAUUCAGGAAUUUGACAGUUGUUUUCAAUUCGAUCCGUCGGUAGAUAUAAUUGAGCUGUUAUAUUGUCAAGUUUUAAAGACUUGUCCGUUUUGAAUUUCCCCAAGAGUUAAUACCCUUUAUAUGUUAACUCUGGUAAGUGGAUUUUCUUAAUUUUUCAAGGUACGAUCAUGCCAGUAUAUAGUUGAAUAGACACCAAAUAGUAAUUCACUCAGUGCCAUGUUUUCUACUUGCAGAAUCAUCGACUAGUGGUGUAAUUUAUCAGAGGAAAAGAAAAUGUCCAUGGUGCACAAAUCGAAACAGAUAACAUGCCAAAUCACAUACAAAGACAAAAAGCAUUAAACAACAAUAAUUCGAAAAUAUCUAAGUUAGAAGAGCCUUAUUGUUUCGAAUGAUUCAACAUUUUAUGCAAGUAAUACGAGCAGGCCAUGAACAUAAUGAAACCGG
RNAcentral lists this long non-coding RNA (17951 nucleotides) under Mytilus galloprovincialis (Mediterranean mussel). The record is from RNAcentral. Lineage: Eukaryota; Metazoa; Mollusca; Bivalvia; Mytilida; Mytilidae.